GUUCGAUCUGAAGCCAGAUUGAACGCUGGCGGGAUGCUACACAUGCAAGUCGAACGGCAGCACGGACUUCGGUCUGGUGGCGAGUGGCGAACGGGUGAGUAAUGUAUCGGAACGUGCCUAGUAGCGGGGGAUAACUACGCGAAAGCGUAGCUAAUACCGCAUACGCCCUUCGGGGGAAAGCGGGGGACCUUCGGGCCUCGCACUAUUAGAGCAGCCGAUAUCGGAUUAGCUAGUUGGUGGGGGCCAACGGCUCACAAGGCGGGCGAUCCCGUAGCUGGUUUGGGGAGACGACCAGCCACACUGGGACUGAGACACGGCCCAGACUCCUACGAGGCAGCAGUGAAAUUUUUGGACAAUGGGGAAACCUGAUCCAGCCAUCGCGGUAUUGCGAUGAAGGCCUUCGGGUUGUAAAGCACUUUUGGCAGGAAAGAAACGGCACGGGAUAUUACCCCGUGCAACUGACAGUACCUGCAGAAUAAGCACCGGCUAACUUCGUACUUGUAGCCGCGGUAAUACGUAGGGUGCAAGCGUUAAUCGGAAUUACUGGGCGUAAAGCGUGCGCAGGCGGUUCGGAAAGAAAGAUGUGAAAUCCCAGAGCUUAACUUUGGAACUGCAUUUUUUACAACUACCGAGCUAGAGUGUGUCGGGAGGUGGAAUUCCGCGUGUAGCAGUGAAAUGCGUAGAUAUGCGGAAGACUUUUAAACUGGCGAAGGCAGCCUCCUGGGAUAUACUAGCGGCUCGUACUGGCAAUGGGAGCAAACAGGAUUGAUACCUGGUAGUCCACGCCCUAAACAGUCGUAACUAAAGCUGUUGGGGCCCUUCGGGCCUUGGUAGCGCAGCUAACGCGUAGAGUUGACCGCCUGUGGUCAUAAGAUUAAAACUCAAAGGAAUUGACGGGGACUACACAAAGCUGGUGGAUGAUGUGGAUUAAUUCCAAGUGCAACGCGAAAAACCUUACCUACCCUUGACGGCAUAUCUGGAAUCCCGAAGGGUGGGAGUGCUCGCAAACGGAACACAGGUGCUGCAUGGCUGUCGUCAGCUCGUGUCUGUGAGAUGUUGGGUUAAGUCCCGCAACGAGCACAACCCUUGUCAUUAGUUGCUACGAAAGGGCACUCUAAUGAGACUGCCGGUGACAAACCGGAGGAAGGUGGGGAUGACGUCAAGUCUCAUGGCCCUUAUGGGUGGGCUUACACGUCAUACAAUGGUCGGGACAGGAAGAGAUUCGCCAACCCGCGAGGGAACCAAUCCCAGAAACCCGAUCGGAGUCCGGAUCGCAGUCUGCAACUCGACUGCGUGAAGUCGGAAUCGCUAGUAAUCGCGGAUGGCAUCAUCGCCCGGUAGACCACGUUC
Molecule: ribosomal RNA, 1350 nt
Filed under: uncultured Bordetella sp.
Lineage: Bacteria; Pseudomonadati; Pseudomonadota; Betaproteobacteria; Burkholderiales; Alcaligenaceae
Description: partial 16S-23S ribosomal RNA intergenic spacer
Rfam family: Bacterial small subunit ribosomal RNA
Source: RNAcentral